RNAcentral lists this transfer RNA (77 nucleotides) under Deltaproteobacteria bacterium RIFCSPHIGHO2_12_FULL_43_9. RNAcentral describes it as "tRNA-Arg". It matches the Rfam family "tRNA". From Rfam's summary of the family: Transfer RNA (tRNA) molecules are approximately 80 nucleotides in length. Their secondary structure includes four short double-helical elements and three loops (D, anti-codon, and T loops). The record is from RNAcentral. Lineage: Bacteria; Deltaproteobacteria.
GCCCCCGUAGCUCAGUAGGAUAGAGCAGGGCACUCCUAAGGCCAAGGUCGGUGGUUCAAUUCCGCCCGGGGGCGCCA